This 253-nucleotide ribosomal RNA is filed under the name uncultured bacterium. Its description in RNAcentral is "partial 16S ribosomal RNA". It matches the Rfam family "Bacterial small subunit ribosomal RNA", at positions 524 to 776 of the family's 1533-position model. The record is from RNAcentral.
UACGUAGGGUGCAAGCGUUGUCCGGAAUUAUUGGGCGUAAAGAGCUCGUAGGCGGUCUGUCACGUCGGCUGUGAAAACCCGAGGCUCAACCUCGGGCCUGCAGUCGAUACGGGCGAACUAGGGUACUGCAGGGGAGACUGGAAUUCCUGGUGUAGCGGUGAAAUGCAUUGAGAUCGGAAAGAACACCAACGGCGAAGGCACUCUGCUGGGCCGACACUGACGCUGAGAGACGAAAGCUAGGGGAGCAAAUGGG